Molecule: ribosomal RNA, 468 nt
Filed under: uncultured bacterium
Lineage: Bacteria
Description: partial 16S ribosomal RNA
Rfam family: Bacterial small subunit ribosomal RNA
Source: RNAcentral
GACGAACGCUGGCGGCGUGCUUAACACAUGCAAGUCGAACGGAAAGGCCCUGCUUUUGUGGGGUGCUCGAGUGGCGAACGGGUGAGUAACACGUGAGUAACCUGCCCUUGACUUUGGGAUAACUUCAGGAAACUGGGGCUAAUACCGGAUAGGAGCUCCUGCUGCAUGGUGGGGGUUGGAAAGUUUCGGCGGUUGGGGAUGGACUCGCGGCUUAUCAGCUUGUUGGUGGGGUGGUGGCUUACCAAGGCUUUGACGGGUAGCCGGCCUGAGAGGGUGACCGGCCACAUUGGGACUGAGAUACGGCCCAGACUCGUACGGGAGGCAGCAGUGGGGAAUAUUGCACAAUGGGCGGAAGCCUGAUGCAGCAACGCCGCGUGCGGGAUGACGGCCUUCGGGUUGUAAACCGCUUUCGCCUGUGACGAAGCGUGAGUGACGGUAAUGGGUAAAGAAGCACCGGCUAACUACGUG